RNAcentral lists this ribosomal RNA (465 nucleotides) under uncultured bacterium. Its description in RNAcentral is "partial 16S ribosomal RNA". It matches the Rfam family "Bacterial small subunit ribosomal RNA", at positions 338 to 795 of the family's 1533-position model. The record is from RNAcentral.
CCUACGGGAGGCAGCAGUGGGGAAUAUUGCGCAAUGGGCGCAAGCCUGAUGCAGCGACGCCGCGUGAGGGAUGAAGGUCUUCGGAUCGUAAACCUCUGUCAGCAGGGAAGAACGGUCACUGUGCUAUUCAGCAGUGAAUUGACGGUACCCGCAGAGGAAGCACCGGCUAACUCCGUGCCAGCAGCCGCGGUAAUACGGAGGGUGCGAGCGUUAAUCGGAAUUACUGGGCGUAAAGCGCUCGUAGGCGGUCUGUCAAGUCUAGGGUGAAAUCCCCGCGCUCAACGUGGGAACUGCCUUUGAAACUGGCAAGCUGGAGUGUUGUAGAGGGGAGUAGAAUUCCAGGUGUAGGAGUGAAAUCCGUAGAGAUCUGGAGGAAUAUCAGUGGCGAAGGCGACUACCUGGCACAAAACUGACGCUGAGGUGCGAAAGCGUGGGUAGCAAACAGGAUUAGAUACCCGAGUAGUC